CACAAGCUACGCAGACUCCGUGAAGGGCCGAUUCACCAUCUCCAGGGACAACGCCAAGAACACGCUGUAUCUGCAGAUGAACAACCUGAAGACUGAGGACACGGCCACAUAUUACUGUGCAAGAGACAGGGGGUGUGCCUGGUUCAAC
Molecule: long non-coding RNA, 148 nt
Organism: Prionailurus viverrinus (fishing cat)
Lineage: Eukaryota; Metazoa; Chordata; Mammalia; Carnivora; Felidae
Exons: 3
Source: RefSeq, a predicted model, not a curated record